UUUUUACAUUUCGUUUCAUUCCACGUUGACUUAAACAUUUUACUCUCUUUUAAUUGUGGAGAGAUGCAUUUUACAAUCCGUGCAGCCAUGCAAGAGGACUGUAAGGACAUCUUGCGGAUGAUAUUAGAACUGGCUGAGCAUGAGAAAAUUUCCGACCAGGUCAAAAUUACACAAAGAGAUCUGGAGCAAGAUGGAUUCUUAAAAAAACUAUUUUUUUCAUGGAAUUAUUGCUGAAUUACCAAAGCACCUUAAGUCCAAAGAUGAUGGGAUACCUCUUUUGGGAAUCUAAUGUGUUUGUGUGGCAGACAGUUUAUUAUAUCAUCGCAUAUAUUGUGUUUGGAAUAGAUUCCAUGUAAUCUAUAUUGGAGGAAACAGAUUGCUAGUAAAAAAGGGGUGGCGCUUCUACGAACAAAUAAUUAUUUAUUUUUACCUUUUGUAUGCACAUUUUUGAGGAAGAAACAGUGUUAUGGAUGUGUAAUUUCUCUGUUAUAGAAAUGACAAUUCUGAAUUUUGCACUUACUAUGGAACAUAGUAAAAAUGCUUUAAAAACUUUGUAUGGUUGUUUAAACCACCAAAUAUUUACUUUUAAGAUUUCAGUAUGGUUAAAAUCUUUGAGUUAAAACUUUACUUUUCAUGAUGAGGUUAACAUUUGCAUGAAAGCCCACCCUACACACACGUGUCGCAGUCAUCAAAAUUUUGUUGCAGUGUUCCUUAGAUGUUAUAUUCAUUACGUAAAAAAUGUUUUUAGAUUAAAAAGUUUGAUUAAUGCUAGAUUUUGCAAGAAGGUAGUUACAUUUGCAUAGCUAUUAUUAAUGUUAAAGGCGGGGUGCAUGAUUUUUGAAAAACACUUUGGAAAAGGGAGUCAGGCUGAGUACCAAAACACACUUGUAGCCAAUCAGCAGUAAGGGGCGUGUCUACUUAACAACAUCGUUGUCUGGGUUGCGUAUGUGUGGGGUGGGUCUAUCAAAAGAAGGUCAAG
This is a non-coding RNA of Paramisgurnus dabryanus, 979 nucleotides long. The record is from RefSeq and is a predicted model, not a curated record. Lineage: Eukaryota; Metazoa; Chordata; Actinopteri; Cypriniformes; Cobitidae.